This 181-nucleotide ribosomal RNA is filed under the name Neogregarinorida sp. RNAcentral describes it as "partial small subunit ribosomal RNA". It matches the Rfam family "Eukaryotic small subunit ribosomal RNA", at positions 1512 to 1696 of the family's 1831-position model. The record is from RNAcentral. Lineage: Eukaryota; Apicomplexa; Conoidasida; Neogregarinorida.
ACAACGAGUUUUCCUUACUUGAAAAGGUUGGGUAAUCUUGUGAAAGUGUAUCGUGAUGGGGAUAGAUGAUUGCAAUUAUUCGUCUUGAACGAGGAAUUCCUAGUAAGCGCAAGUCAUUAGCUUGUGCUGAUUACGUCCCUGCCCUUGUACACACCGCCCGUCGCCUCAAUCGACUGGAUGA